UACAGAGGGUGCAAACGUUGCUCGGAGUUACUGGGCGUAAAGCGCGUGUAGGCGGUGCCGCACGUCCGAUGUGAAAGCCCGGGGCUCAACCCCGGAAGUGCAUUGGAUACGGCGGCGCUGGAGGCCUGAAGAGGAGGGCGGAAUUCCCGGUGUAGAGGUGAAAUGCGUAGAUAUCGGGAGGAACAUCAGUGGCGAAGGCGGCCAUCUGGACUAAAACUGACACUGAGACACGAAAGCGUGGGGAGCAAACAGG
RNAcentral lists this ribosomal RNA (253 nucleotides) under uncultured bacterium. Its description in RNAcentral is "partial 16S ribosomal RNA". It matches the Rfam family "Bacterial small subunit ribosomal RNA", at positions 524 to 776 of the family's 1533-position model. The record is from RNAcentral.